GAUGAACGCUGGCGGCGUGCCUAAUACAUGCAAGUCGAGCGAACAGACGAGGAGCUUGCUCCUCUGACGUUAGCGGCGGACGGGUGAGUAACACGUGGAUAACCUACCUAUAAGACUGGGAUAACUUCGGGAAACCGGAGCUAAUACCGGAUAAUAUAUUGAACCGCAUGGUUCAAUAGUGAAAGACGGUUUUGCUGUCACUUAUAGAUGGAUCCGCGCCGCAUUAGCUAGUUGGUAAGGUAACGGCUUACCAAGGCAACGAUGCGUAGCCGACAUGAGAGGGUGGUCGGCCACACUGGAACUGGAACACGGUCCAGACUCCUACGGGAGGCAGCAGUAGGGAAUCUUCCGCAAUGGGCGAAAGCUUGACGGAGCAACGCCGCGUGAGUGAUGAAGGUCUUCGGAUCGUAAAACUCUGUUAUUAGGGAAGAACAAAUGUGUAAGUAACUAUGCACGUCUUGACGGUACCUAAUCAGAAAGCCACGGCUAACUACGUG
RNAcentral lists this ribosomal RNA (497 nucleotides) under uncultured bacterium. RNAcentral describes it as "partial 16S ribosomal RNA". It matches the Rfam family "Bacterial small subunit ribosomal RNA", at positions 28 to 507 of the family's 1533-position model. The record is from RNAcentral.